RNAcentral lists this ribosomal RNA (301 nucleotides) under uncultured bacterium. RNAcentral describes it as "partial 16S ribosomal RNA". It matches the Rfam family "Bacterial small subunit ribosomal RNA", at positions 509 to 809 of the family's 1533-position model. The record is from RNAcentral.
CAGCCGCCGCGGGAAUACGUAGGUGGCCAGCGUUGUCCGGAAUUAUUGGGCGUAAAGCGCGCGCAGGCGGAUAGGUCAGUCUGUCUUUAAAGUUCGGGGCUUAACCCCGUGAUGGGAUGGAAACUGCCAAUCUAGAGUAUCGGAGAGGAAAGUGGAAUUCCUAGUGUAGCGGUGAAAUGCGUAGAUAUUAGGAAGAACACCAGUGGCGAAGGCGACUUUCUGGACGAAAACUGACGCUGAGGCGCGAAAGCCAGGGGAGCGAACGGGAUUAGAUACCCGUGUAGUCCCUGUCUCUUAUACA